AAAAAUUAAGUUAGCUGCCCAGCCCAUUUAAACCAUUACAUAGCCCAAUAUGUUAAUAUGAUAAGAGACGGUUCAGGUUAUAUCCCUUUAUCGAUCCCGUGUCUCUGAAAAUCACUCAUCCUCCCUAACCCUAAGCGCCGUCUCAGACCCUUUGUCGAUUCUCUUCCUCUCCCCCACCUUCCUAAACGCUCCCAGUUAAUCUCCUUUAUCAAGCGUACAAAGAAUCUUCGUAACUGUCUUCAGAUGCUGCUGUUGCGCAAUGCCUUCGACGCUCUUCGCCUCGGUCGAUCGUCGCAGUUCGUUAUCGCUCGGCUUCUCCGUUUUUGGGACUCGGAAAGUAUGAAGAACAUGGUGAAUUCAUAGAAUCACUCUACUUAUCCUUGAUGAGAAGGACCUCCUAUAGUCUCAAAGAGACUGAUGUGGCUGUAUUGGAAUCUUGACCCAUAAGGUGAUGAUUACUCUUUACGCACAGAUGGUGAUACCAUGCAUAGUUUGAUCAAACUCCGUUUAGGUUUUCUUUAGGGAAACAAAUGAAGGUAAAAAGCCAAGAGCAGAAACUAGCUGUGCCGGAACCAGCAUUGAUCAAGGACCUUGAUUCAAGGAAGAGAGAAUAUCCUUUUUGAGCAAUGGCUCGAUUGAUCAAGGAGAAACAGUGUUUUUCUAAAGCAAUGGGUACUGAAAACCUCCCCUUAAGUUGCAUUAAAGAAGCCAUCAUCAUUGAUGAAAGGAAAGAGCCUGCUAUAUUGAUGACGAUUGUGAUCACAGAGAAAGACACAAAGAAAUUUGAGCUUGGAUUCAGCAGGUGGUGGUAGCCAACAAGAUGAUACAAUCGUUGAGAGAUGUAACCCAUUGAGAGGAGAGAUAUAAGAAGCUCAUGAUUUGGUUUAAAAGAUGAGAUAUAAGAAGCUCGUGAUUUGGUUUAACAGAUGACAUAUAUAAGAGUUGAGGUUAAGUAGAAAUGUUAACCUUUGUGUUACGGUCAUUUGUUUGUCUUUUUCUGUCUCUGCAAUACAAACAGCUUUUACUCUGUUGUUUUUCCUUUUGGUUUCAGUUUGAAGCAAAAGCUAUGAAUCUGUCAUUUGUGUCAUCUGAGAUUAGACUUUUUGUUUGUAAUUGAUUAUUGUUUCUUUGGCAGCAAACAAAGCCUUGGAUUUUAAA
Molecule: long non-coding RNA, 1158 nt
Organism: Brassica napus (rape)
Lineage: Eukaryota; Viridiplantae; Streptophyta; Magnoliopsida; Brassicales; Brassicaceae
Exons: 5
Source: RefSeq, a predicted model, not a curated record